AUGUUUUAUUGACGCGUUUUAUGCAUCUAAUUCAAUAUUUCCAUUUAAAAUAGAACAGUAAAAGUUAUUAGAAUUUAACUAAUAUUAUACAGAUUAUAAAAUGCAUCCUCAUUUUGAUGUUGAAUUGUUAUAAAUAUUGUAUUGUGGAGAAGAUACCAUAGUCAACGUUCAAGAGUGCAAGUAUAGAUACGAAAUAAAUCGCCGUGGCUAUCUUUGUAUUUUGGCUUCUUAAAGUGAUAUUGUCUCUUGUUCAUUGCUGUUCUGUACUCUUUUCAAAUGUGUUUAUUAAAAAAGAUGUCCGACCUUGCCAUGUUAUUUAUUUCAAACUGUUUUUUUUUUUUAAACUAAAUUUCAGACCACGAAUGUGUCAGAUACAAGAUUUUCAAGAGAUACUCUGCCUCGAGAGCGGCAUUAUCGCUGGUUUGUUACGCCAGAAGAAGCUACAAAGAUGUUGUCAAGUACUGACCUCCCAGUUCUAGGAUUAAAGAAAAGAAGAUACAAACAUCCAUUUAAAGCAGUGCAAGAAGCUGUCUUAGGAUCACGCAAUAUUGAUAGUACAGAAACAUUUCGCAAAGGACACACGACCGACAGAUCUGAGAAAUCUACUGGUAGCAAAAAUUCAAAAGACAGCAAUAAUAACAGUGAAUCAGAUGUUUUUGUAAAUGCCUAUGGAACAGACGACAAAAAGGGGACUUCCUUUACCACUAAACAGGUUACUUUGAAAAAACGAUUUCAUAGUGACUCCGAUGUUCUUAAUAAUAUUGAACCAAGGAGUGUCAGGCAUAGCAGUAGGGUUAAAAAAGAUUUCUAAAAGAAGAAGGAGAAAAAGAAAGUUUUAUUUUCCUAUUACGUGCAUGGAGAUGAAGAUAUUUAACAUCAAUGAUUCAACAGAUGAACCCAUUAAGUUACAUACAUUCAUAACGAAACGAACGAUAUGUAUAAGCUUCAAAGUAGAAUAAUUACAGAUGUAUGUUUCAUUAUUAUACGUUAUUUUGAUUGGCUAACAGCAAUCUCGCGUCAUUCUUCAUUUCAAAAUGAAUUGCAUGAAUUGAAACAUACAUGAUGACACAUGUUUCCACAAUAAAGUGCACAGGUAAAUAAAAGAAAAACUUGAUAGUAAUCGUGUUUUCAUGAUCAUAGCGAAAAAAUGUAAUUAUAAGUAUUGAAUGCUUCUUUUAGUAAUUUCAUAGGGUUGUAAAAGCGUUGACCGUGCGUACAUUUUUAGAAUGAAGCGCUUUCGCGCUUCAUACAAAAUGUACUUUGGUCAACGCAUUUACACCCCCAAUGAAUUAACAAAAAGAAGCAUUCAAUUCUUAAAUAAAUACUUAGUAGUACAUUAUACAAUAUGCUACCAAAGAAAUGGUGUGACAUAGCUCCAUAAUUUCACUCUUGUAUAUGUGCAAAAAUAACUAGUAACUAGUAUCAUUGCGUAUAUAUCAUGUGUAGUUCAUAUUUGUUCAGUAAUGAUAAUUUGGCUGUAAUCAUAAAAACUAAGAUAAAUUAUUAACGAGACAGACAAACAAAUUUAUUAGUUGUAAUUGGCUUUGAACUAGCUUUCAGUAAUUGCAGGUACUCCUUUUUCGAUGCUUUGCGUCUAUUGUUUUUAUGUUAGUUGUUUUUGUGCCUCGCAUCGAUUUUUCGGUUAGCCAAUUGCAACUGGUGUUUGCUUUUAUGCUCUUAUGCUAACAAACAUGUUUAACCCCGCCACAUUCGUUAUGUGCCUGUCCCAAGUCAGGAGCCUGUAGUUCAGUGGUUGUCGUUUUGUCAUGCCUGUCAUAAUUGUAUUUCAUAAAUUGUUUUGUUAUGAAUUAGGUCGUUGCAUGGUUUUCAAAAUUGAAUUGUUUUACAUUUUUUAUUUCGGAGCAUACGGUAUGCCUUUUUUCUCAUUGUCUAUAAUUGUUUAUUUCCACUUCAUUUGAAAUUUGGUGGAUAGUUGUCUCAUUGGCAAUCAUACUACAUCUCCUUAUCUUUAUAAACAUUUACUUCAUUAAAAAAAACUCCAUUUAGAACAUAUGAACAUACAAAUUAGAAACAUGAGAUAUCGAAAUAAUAUACAUUGUAUUAGAUAUGACAUCUAUAAAUGUUUCAAUCUUAUCUGAUUAGCAACCCAGUCCUACCCGUGUAAAUGUAAAUGCUCUUUUGUUCCGACGUUGGAAAGUUCCGGGCGAAUAGAACUAACUAGCCGAAAAGUUCCGGAGGAACUUAUUAACUAGUUACUUUGUUCUUCCUCCGGUUUAAAAGUUCCACCGGAACAAAGUGACUAGUUGAAAAGUUCCAACGGAACAUAUCAACUAGUUAGAAAGUUCCUUUUUGCCAAAUUAGUCAAAACCGGAACUAACAAACUAGCCCAAAAGUUCCAACGGAACUUAUCAACCAGGCAGAAAGUUCCAUUUGGAGAAUUGAUGCAAAGUACAAGCGCAACAUAUUAUAUUUGAACCUUUCAAAGGGAAACCAAGAUACUGAUUACAAAAGUCAAAAGGAACUUAUCAACUAGCCACAAAGUUCCUCUUUGGCAAAUAAGUCAAAACCGGAACUAACAAACUAGCCCAAAAGUUCCAACGGAACUUAUCAACCAGUCAAAAGUUCCAUUUGGAGAAUUGAUGCACAGAACCACAUGAGGAGGGGGGUAUUCUUCCCUCUCUUGAGGGUACUAUGAAUACUAAAUUUGCAUGAUAAUGCAACUUAUUCCGUUUUAUGUGAGCUAUGAAAUACAACUUAAAUUUUGCAUAUUUGUCCCCAAAGAAACCCCUUUCAGUGCGUUGGGUAUUCUUGUAAUUAAUGAUUUGCUCUUAAAUAUACUGAUACUCAUUCUUCCCCCUCUUUCUACAAAAAGGACGAAAUAUGGUAUAUUCAGAACGAUGUAACUAGUUGUUCUGUUCCGCCAGAACUAUUCAACUAGCUACAUUGUUUCGGGACUUUUCAACUAGCUACUUUUUUCCGGAACUUUUCGACUGCACUCGGAACAAAACAACUAGUUGGAAAGUUCCAUCGAAACGAAAUAACUAGUUGAAAAGUUCAGCCGGAACAAAGUAACUGACGGAUCAUAGUGGCUGUUACAUAAACAGCAAUUCAUUGAUGGUACCUUAUUAACAGUUGACGUCAGAGGACGAUACCUUGGGUACUGACUAUCAUUAAAUGUAUAUAUGUUAAGAUAUUAUCCUAUCCAUUUCAAAAGCCCAAGUUGAAGCUUAUUAUAUGGUAUGAGUUUAGAUGAAGCUUAUUACAUGGUAUGAGUUUAGUUGAAGCUUAUUGCAUGGUAUGAGAUUAGUUGAAGCUUAUUAUAUGGAAUGAGAUUAGUUGAAGCUUAUUAUAUGGUAUGAGAUUAGUUGAAGCUUAUUAUAUGGUAUGAGUUUAGUUGAAGCUUAUAUGGUAUGUGUUUAGUUGAAGCUUAUUAUAUGGUAUGAGUUUAGUUGAAGCUUAUUAUAUGGUAUGUGUUUAUUUGAAGCUUAUUAUAUGGUAUGAGUUUAGUUAAAGCUUAUUAUAUGGUAUGAGUUUAGUUUAAGCUUAUUAUAUGGUAUGAGUUUAGCUAAAGCUUAUUAUAUGAUAUGUGUUUA
This is a long non-coding RNA of Mytilus californianus (California mussel), 3554 nucleotides long. RefSeq lists it as uncharacterized. NCBI's taxonomy places the organism in Eukaryota, Metazoa, Mollusca, Bivalvia, Mytilida, Mytilidae. The record is from RefSeq and is a predicted model, not a curated record. The transcript has 2 exons.